GAUGAACGCUGGCGGCGUGCCUAAUACAUGCAAGUCGAGCGAACGGACGAGAAGCUUGCUUUUCUGAUGUUAGCGGCGGACGGGUGAGUAACACGUGGAUAACCUACCUAUAAGACUGGGAUAACUUCGGGAAACCGGAGCUAAUACCGGAUAAUAUUUUGAACCGCAUGGUUCAAAAGUGAAAGACGGUCUUGCUGUCACUUAUAGAUGGAUCCGCGCUGCAUUAGCUAGUUGGUAAGGUAACGGCUUACCAAGGCAACGAUGCAUAGCCGACCUGAGAGGGUGAUCGGCCACACUGGAACUGAGACACGGUCCAGACUCCUACGGGAGGCAGCAGUAGGGAAUCUUCCGCAAUGGGCGAAAGCCUGACGGAGCAACGCCGCGUGAGUGAUGAAGGUCUUCGGAUCGUAAAACUCUGUUAUUAGGGAAGAACAUAUGUGUAAGUAACUGUGCACAUCUUGACGGUACCUAAUCAGAAAGCCACGGCUAACUACGUGCCAGCAGCCGCGGUAAUACGUAGGUGGCAAGCGUUAUCCGGAAUUAUUGGGCGUAAAGCGCGCGUAGCGGUUUUUUAAGUCUGAUGUGAAAGCCCACGGCUCAACCGUGGAGGGUCAUUGGAAACUGGAAAACUUGAGUGCAGAAGAGGAAAGUGGAAUUCCAUGUGUAGCGGUGAAAUGCGCAGAGAUAUGGAGGAACACCAGUGGCGAAGGCGACUUUCUGGUCUGUAACUGACGCUGAUGUGCGAAAGCGUGGGGAUCAAACAGGAUUAGAUACCCUGGUAGUCCACGCCGUAAACGAUGAGUGCUAAGUGUUAGGGGGUUUCCGCCCCUUAGUGCUGCAGCUAACGCAUUAAGCACUCCGCCUGGGGAGUACGACCGCAAGGUUGAAACUCAAAGGAAUUGACGGGGACCCGCACAAGCGGUGGAGCAUGUGGUUUAAUUCGAAGCAACGCGAAGAGCCUUACCAAAUCUUGACAUCCUUUGACAACUCUAGAGAUAGAGCCUUCCCCUUCGGGGGACAAAGUGACAGGUGGUGCAUGGUUGUCGUCAGCUCGUGUCGUGAGAUGUUGGGUUAAGUCCCGCAACGAGCGCAACCCUUAAGCUUAGUUGCCAUCAUUAAGUUGGGCACUCUAAGUUGACUGCCGGUGACAAACCGGAGGAAGGUGGGGAUGACGUCAAAUCAUCAUGCCCCUUAUGAUUUGGGCUACACACGUGCUACAAUGGACAAUACAAAGGGCAGCGAAACCGCGAGGUCAAGCAAAUCCCAUAAAGUUGUUCUCAGUUCGGAUUGUAGUCUGCAACUCGACUACAUGAAGCUGGAAUCGCUAGUAAUCGUAGAUCAGCAUGCUACGGUGAAUACGUUCCCGGGUCU
RNAcentral lists this ribosomal RNA (1371 nucleotides) under uncultured bacterium. RNAcentral describes it as "bacterial SSU rRNA". It matches the Rfam family "Bacterial small subunit ribosomal RNA", at positions 28 to 1381 of the family's 1533-position model. The record is from RNAcentral.